This is a long non-coding RNA of Trichechus manatus latirostris (Florida manatee), 648 nucleotides long. RefSeq lists it as uncharacterized. NCBI's taxonomy places the organism in Eukaryota, Metazoa, Chordata, Mammalia, Sirenia, Trichechidae. The transcript is spliced from 3 exons. The record is from RefSeq and is a predicted model, not a curated record.
UGGCAGACAGCCUGUGAUCUAGGAGCACUCUGAGGACCUAGCUGUGGCAUCUUGCAGUUUCACUAUAAUGUGUGGACACCUAGAUUCAUCGUAGUGAAGAUACAAGUUCCAUCUGGUGCCAGAAAUUGCUUAGGACUUCAAAACAGAUCUCCAUUCCAGAGUGCAGGAGGCAAAUGAGGCCUAUCUGGUUGGACUUUCUGAAGACCUCAACCUGUGUGCUGUCCAUGUCAAACGUGAAACACGCCAAAAGACAUCCAGCUAGUACACCGCUUACGUGGGGAAUGAGCUUAAUUUACAAUCUACUCUGAUGGGAAACAUUUCACCCUAAAAACUUUUUUUUCCCCAUUUCUUCCUGUCAUUAGCAGGUCUGAAUGUUAGAUAUUCUUUUUCCAUGGGGCCUAAAGGUAUCUAAGUAUGUGAUUGCAAAUGGAAAAACAGGGGGAGGAAUAAAAUACUGGCAGUUUUUCCAUUUUCAUUUGUAUGUGAAUUUUUAAUAUCAAUGUGGGAAUGUAAAGCAUUAAUGCAAGUCAGAAUGUGUCAGGGAACAACUGUCAGCCGUUCAACUUUAUAAUGUUAUAAAUAAACCUGUGAAAAGUUUCCAGAUAAUGCCGGUAUCUGGAAUUUUUUAAAAACAAGUAAACUCUUAUU